UACCGCAUGGUACAGCAUUAAAGGAGUAAUCCGCUUGAGAUGGACCCGCGUCGCAUCUAGCUAGUCUGGUGAGGUAACGGCUCACCAAGGCGACGAUGCGUAGCCGACCUGAGAGGGUGAUCGGCCACAUCUGGGACUGAGACACGGCCCAGACUCCUACGGGAGGCAGCAGUGGGGAAUAUUGCACAAUGGGGGAAACCCUGAUGCAGCAACGCCGCGUGAGUGAUGACGGUCUUCGGAUUGUAAAGCUCUGUCUUUAGGGACGAUAAUGACGGUACCUAAGGAGGAAGCCACGGCUAACUACGUGCCAGCAGCCGCGGUAAUACGUAGGUGGCAAGCGUUGUCCGGAUUUACUGGGCGUAAAGGGAGCGUAGGUGGAUAUUUAAGUGGGAUGUGAAAUACUCGGGCUUAACCUGGGUGCUGCAUUCCAAACUGGAUAUCUAGAGUGCAGGAGAGGAAAGGAGAAUCCUAGUGUAGCGGUGAAAUGCGUAGAAUUAAGAAAAAA
Molecule: ribosomal RNA, 505 nt
Filed under: uncultured Clostridium sp.
Lineage: Bacteria; Bacillati; Bacillota; Clostridia; Eubacteriales; Clostridiaceae
Description: bacterial SSU rRNA
Rfam family: Bacterial small subunit ribosomal RNA
Source: RNAcentral